AGUCGUAAAAUCUCAGCAAAAGCCAACAACUUACAGUUAUUCAUCACAACGUGACGCCACCCAUUUUUCUCUUCUAUCUUCAAACACAACCUUUCUUCUUCUUCUCUGUGAAGAUGGCAGAAAAUUCAUCUCAGGAAAACUUCAUCUGUUUACAUGGAGAUUUGGAGCUUCACAUCAUUCAAGCCCGUCAUUUACCCAACAUGGACUUAACUUCUGAGCGUAUACGCCGCUGCUUCACAGCCUGUGAUGUCUGCCGGAAACCUCAAACUGGAUCCACUGCCGACGACGG
This 289-nucleotide unclassified non-coding RNA is filed under the name Hevea brasiliensis (rubber tree). Lineage: Eukaryota; Viridiplantae; Streptophyta; Magnoliopsida; Malpighiales; Euphorbiaceae. The record is from RNAcentral.